AUAGCCCAGGGCCCCAACAGCUGUGGCCAUCUGUGUCUAGGCACUGGACGAGCUCUACCUCCAGUAGCAGUGACGUAGGGCCUUUCCUAGGCAUCCCUUGUGUGUCUAGGAGUUGCUCAGAGGACUAUGCCCAUUGUCUUUAGGCCAUUAAGAUGCAGUAGAAGGGGAGAGGCUGGUCCAUCCAGCCCCCAUGUCUGGGGCUCACAGACCCUUGUGAAGUCCAGGCAGAUGGUGAUGGGAACUGCUGACAUUAAAAGCCAAACCUGGGGUGGGGAAUUCUACAGCCUCCUGGGUUCACAGGUCCAGGGACCAAAGAGGACUUCAUUUCCAUUUGGGAGAAGGGUAAAAGGAAAGAGAGUGGGGUACUGCAGCAGGAAGGAUGGAGGAUCCAUAUCAAGGGGGAACUUCCGGUGUGAUCAAGCUUUGAUUCCAGGGCCAGUAUAAAUGCACUGCUCAACUGUGGGAAAGGGGCUGGGAUGGAAAUGACACAGGCUGGGCCUGCAGCCAAUGGAACUUCCCCACAGAAGAUGCCACUUAAAAGUGUUAUUAAACCCUCAGGACUUUUAAAGCAGAGAACAAGGUAACUAUGAACACUCUUUAAAGUGAUAUUGAGAGUUCCCAAGAGAGUUCUGUGUCUUUCUCACUUCCCUCUGCCUUGGGAUGGAGACACGUGUCUACCCCAAUGUCCCCCUCUCCUCCCCAGCUCCUGCUCUGUCUUCCAG
This 722-nucleotide long non-coding RNA is filed under the name Cercocebus atys (sooty mangabey). Its description in RNAcentral is "lncRNA (ENSCATG00000045732.1)". The record is from RNAcentral. Lineage: Eukaryota; Metazoa; Chordata; Mammalia; Primates; Cercopithecidae.